UACAGAGGGUGCGAACGUUGUUCGGAAUUACUGGGCUUGAAGCGCGCGUAGGCGGCCCUGCAAGUGCGGUGUGAAAUCCCACGGCUUACCCGUGGAACCGCGUCGUGUACUACAGGGCUAGAGGAUGGUAGAGGAGGGCGGAACUCUUGGUGGAGCGGUGAAAUGCGUAGAGAUCAAGAGGAACACCGGUGGCGAAGGCGGCCCUCUGGUCCAUUACUGACGCUGAGGCGCGAAAGCUAGGGGAGCAAACGGGAUUAGAUACCCCGGUAGUCCUAGCUGUAAACGAUGGGCACUGACUAGAGGCUCUUCCUGUGGAGUCUCUGGUGGAACGAAAGCGAUAAGUGCCCCGCCUGGGGAGUAUAGUCGCAAGGCUGAA
RNAcentral lists this ribosomal RNA (376 nucleotides) under uncultured bacterium. RNAcentral describes it as "bacterial SSU rRNA". It matches the Rfam family "Bacterial small subunit ribosomal RNA", at positions 524 to 898 of the family's 1533-position model. The record is from RNAcentral.